GCAGGAGUGGCGGAAUUGGCAUACGCGAUAGGUUGAGGGCCUAUUGAGCUUCAAAGCUCGUGAGGGUUCAAGUCCCUCCUUCUGCACCA
Molecule: transfer RNA, 89 nt
Filed under: Clostridiales bacterium
Lineage: Bacteria; Bacillati; Bacillota; Clostridia; Eubacteriales
Description: tRNA-Leu
Rfam family: tRNA
About the family: Transfer RNA (tRNA) molecules are approximately 80 nucleotides in length. Their secondary structure includes four short double-helical elements and three loops (D, anti-codon, and T loops). Further hydrogen bonds mediate the characteristic L-shaped molecular structure. tRNAs have two regions of fundamental functional importance: the anti-codon, which is responsible for specific mRNA codon recognition, and the 3' end, to which the tRNAs corresponding amino acid is attached (by aminoacyl-tRNA synthetases). tRNAs cope with the degeneracy of the genetic code in two manners: having more than one tRNA (with a specific anti-codon) for a particular amino acid; and 'wobble' base-pairing, i.e. permitting non-standard base-pairing at the 3rd anti-codon position.
Source: RNAcentral